RNAcentral lists this long non-coding RNA (1693 nucleotides) under Homo sapiens (human). Its description in RNAcentral is "HSALNT0240781". The record is from RNAcentral. Lineage: Eukaryota; Metazoa; Chordata; Mammalia; Primates; Hominidae.
AGCUCUGUGCAGGAAAGAUGAGCUGGCCCUGCACUAGCUUCACCUCAGGACACCCCAGCACCGGCAUUGCCACAGAGUUUCGGAAAAUGGUCACAGAAAAGCACAGCUCAGCCUUCCCUAGGCUCUAGGGAGAUGUCCCUGGGUUGAGUUCCAGAAUAAAUUCUACAGCGGGACCGGUUUCAAGUUCUUACCCUUCUCCUUCGAGCAUAUUCGGGAAGGGAAGUUUGAAGAGUGAGUCCCUGUGAGGGCCGUGUGCCCCAUGCUACCCUCCCCGCCUCCCUCCACAGUGAUCAGCUGUGCCUCUCUGCCUGUUGGUUGUGAUCUGUGGGCACCAGCUCAUUCGUGUCACCCUGUCUGUGAGUCAUUUAGAUAGAAUAGUCCUCCUUGGGUCUCCCACCACCCCUAGCUUUGUGUGUAGUGUAGUGAUUUUCUGGCUGUCACUCAUACUCACUGGGCACCAGCCUUGCCCUCUUAGCCUCCAUCCAUCCAGACAGCCCUUCCCACCUCCUGGUGGUGAGCCAGUCUGCAUUCCCACGCCAUCCCAAAGCCCUUUCAUCUUCCCCGUGCAUUGUAGAUGGAAGGAGCACCCAUGCCAUUCACAUCUAGACUUUGAGUUCCCUGCAUCUGCCACCGUAGUUUCUAGCAGGAGUAGUGGGGGGAGUAAUACAGAUUCUUCCCUAGAAGGGGACACUGGUAACAUGUCCCACUCUUGGAUUAGCAGGGGUGGGUCCAGGAAGAUGAUAUUUGCGUCUUUUGCCCACCCCCCUGGCAUUCAGCUGGACCCAACUAGGCCAUCAUGAGUGGCUUCUCCCUGUCAUCCCCAGGGGUCAUAGGAUAUCUACACCGCCUUUCUGACCCCACCCUGCACUCCCAUCCUUUCCUCUCUCCCCGUUCAUGCCCUGCACUACAUAGCACAGCCGGGAUGCUUGGAACAGAGGCCUUGGCUGCUCCGCAGUGCACAGGGCUUCCCUCUCUCGGGGUUGGCUUCUUCCCAGGCCUUGCAUGGGCCCUGCCCACAAGCACACCCUCAGGCCGAGGGUGCAGACUGAUGCUCUUCCCUGAUGGAGACCCUGAGAUCUUCCCCACCCCCAAUCAUGAUGUCUUCAGUGUGGGACUGGGGUCCUCUUGGUUCUGCCUGCAGCCUGCCUGGCUCCGCCCCUAGUGCCCCCUCCUCACCACACUGGCCCCAGGUCUCAGGAGGGGUGUCCUGGGCAGGGAAGGUCAGUGUCACUGAUGGUUUGCUGUUUGGAAGCCAUUGGCAGGGCUGCCGUGCAUGUGGCUGUGAGGGCUGCACAGUCCUGCCAAGGGGCUUCCUCCUUGUCACCCCGAACCUUGUAAUCGUGUGCUGGCGUGGCAGCCCUGGCUAAGUUAAUCCCCACCGCUUUCAGUGGUAGAAAGAAUUCCCUGAGUGGGCCAGGCUGGUGCCCUCCUCCUACCCUGGCUUUUCUGAGUGAGCUGCCUGGAGCCCUCAUCCCCUCUCCCAGGCUGGGCUGGCCCUGGGCGGGGCCACUGUGUGCUGGCCCACUGUGACCUGACCCGACCUUGUGCAGCCCCCCUGCCCUGGUGUCCUGGGUUUUCGUGAUGAUCUUUGCUCUGUUUCCAGUGGGGUUUGAAGCAGAGUUCAGGGAACCCUGCCCAAGGUCCUCCUGUUCAGACAUUCCUAUGUUGAAUAAAGUAUGUUUGACUUCCCCGG